UAAAUUAGAGGUAGCUGGAAUAAGUAGUGUAGCGGUGAAAUGCAUAGAUAUUACUUAGAACACCAAUUGCGAAGGCAGGUUACCAUGAUUUAACUGACGCUGAGGGACGAAAGCGUGGGUAGCGAACAGGAUUAGAUACCCUGGUAGUCCACGCCGUAAACGAUGCUAACUCGUUUUUGGGGCGCAAGCCUCAGAGACCAAGCGAAAGUGAUAAGUUAGCCACCUGGGGAGUACGUUCGCAAGAAUGAAACUCAAAGGAAUUGACGGGGGCCCGCACAAGCGGUGGAUUAUGUGGUUUAAUUCGAUGAUACGCGAGGAACCUUACCAAGGCUUAAAUGGGAAAUGACAGGCUUAGAAAUAGGCUCUUCUUCGGACAUUUUUCAAGGUGCUGCAUGGUUGUCGUCAGCUCGUGCCGUGAGGUGUUAGGUUAAGUCCUGCAACGAGCGCAACCCCUGUCACUAGUUGCUAACAUUCAGUUGAGGACUCUAGUGAGACUGCCUACGCAAGUAGAGAGGAAGGUGGGGAUGACGUCAAAUCAUCACGGCCCUUACGCCUUGGGCCACACACGUAAUACAAUGGCCGGU
This 584-nucleotide ribosomal RNA is filed under the name Chryseobacterium sp. 490. RNAcentral's name for it is "bacterial SSU rRNA". It matches the Rfam family "Bacterial small subunit ribosomal RNA", at positions 647 to 1238 of the family's 1533-position model. Lineage: Bacteria; Pseudomonadati; Bacteroidota; Flavobacteriia; Flavobacteriales; Weeksellaceae. The record is from RNAcentral.